This 455-nucleotide long non-coding RNA is filed under the name Phoenix dactylifera (date palm). RNAcentral describes it as "long non-coding RNA (PDAC_LNC005079)". The record is from RNAcentral. Lineage: Eukaryota; Viridiplantae; Streptophyta; Magnoliopsida; Arecales; Arecaceae.
AACAUUUAAAAAGGUGAUGAAGAUCUGCUUGCAAGCGAUCACUUACUUCAAGAAAUAAAGUAGCCUUUCUAAGUAAAACCUUAUCCUCCAAAUUUAUCUCUUCAAAAUCUGUUCCUUUUAAUAGUCGCCACUGAACAUCAGCUUCACCAUCAUCGGGUAGAUUUCUCUCCUCAGGAUUCCUUUUCAGUAUACUCAUUAAUGACUCAGGGAUAAGUUUUGGUCCAUUAUUAACUAAGUCUUGUAAAGCAGCAUGAAUUGUCUCACAAUCUCUUUCACAAAACCACUUGUUCUUCACGACUUCCUGUAUCAAAAGAUGUGCCAAAAAUAUGAACGUGUAAUAUAUCAAGCAUUGUUUGUGAUUUUUAUGUGUGAGUCGAAUUCACCAAAAAACCAAGUGGGGUCUGCUUGUCACCUUUAUGUCACAUGAUCCAGGGUCCUCUAAACAACCAAUAUGA